GUCACGCCCCCAAACCCAACUCCCGGGUCCGGCACGCGACCGGCCGCAUGAGCCCUAGAGCAAUGCCCUAAAGAUCAUGCAAGGCCUAAGAUAAACAACAAUUCCAAUAAUUCCAAUAAUUUCAUAAAUGCCAAAAUCAAAGAUUGAUGUAAUUCAAUCAAAUCCAGCUACAAUGUACUGAAUGAUUACACAAUUUCAAAUGUCCAUAAAUAAAAGAUAAAUUGACUUCUAACUAUCUAGCAGUCUGACUCCAGAUCGAGCUCACUUCUUGUCCCAUCCGACAGAUUCUACGAAUCCAGUGCCUCUGAAAAAAAAAUGAAAGUGUAGUAUGAGCUUUUCCAGCCCAGUAAGAAUCCCAACAGCCACACACAACAAAAUCAUAAAAUAAUCAAGUAUCAAAAUAUAUAUANN
Molecule: long non-coding RNA, 411 nt
Filed under: Phoenix dactylifera (date palm)
Lineage: Eukaryota; Viridiplantae; Streptophyta; Magnoliopsida; Arecales; Arecaceae
Description: long non-coding RNA (PDAC_LNC002521)
Source: RNAcentral